RNAcentral lists this ribosomal RNA (406 nucleotides) under uncultured bacterium. RNAcentral's name for it is "partial 16S ribosomal RNA". It matches the Rfam family "Bacterial small subunit ribosomal RNA", at positions 30 to 526 of the family's 1533-position model. The record is from RNAcentral.
AUUGAACGCUGGCGGCAGGCCUAACACAUGCAAGUCGAGCGAGCGGCGGACGGGUGCGUAAUGUUUGGGAAACUGCCUGUUGGAGGGGGAUAACUACUGGAAAAGGUAGCUAAUACCGCAUACCAUCAGAUGUGCCCAGAGGGGAUUAGCUCGUGGGUGGGGUAAUGGCUCACAUAGGCGACGAUCCCUAGCUGGCCUGAGAGGAUGACCAGCCACACUGGAACUGAGACACGGCCCAGACUCCUACGUGAGGCAGCAGUGGGGAAUAUUGCACAAUGGGCGCAAGCCUGAUGCAGCCAUGCCGCGUGAGUGAAGAAGGCCUUCGGGUUUUAAAGCACUUUCAGCGGGGAGGCGUUACCCGCAGAAGAAGCACCGGCUAACUCCGUGCCAGCAGCCGCGGUAAUAC